AUACGGAGGGUGCAAGCGUUAUCCGGAAUCAUUGGGUUUAAAGGGUCCGCAGGCGGACUAAUAAGUCAGUGGUGAAAUCCUCUCGCUUAACGAGAGAACUGCCAUUGAAACUGUUAGUCUUGAAUUCGGUCGAAGUAGGCGGAAUGUGUCAUGUAGCGGUGAAAUGCAUAGAUAUGACACAGAACACCGAUAGCGAAGGCAGCUUACUAGACCUGGAUUGACGCUCAUGGACGAAAGCGUGGGGAGCGAACGGGAUUAGAUACCCUAGUAGUCC
This 274-nucleotide ribosomal RNA is filed under the name uncultured bacterium. RNAcentral's name for it is "partial 16S ribosomal RNA". It matches the Rfam family "Bacterial small subunit ribosomal RNA", at positions 523 to 796 of the family's 1533-position model. The record is from RNAcentral.